RNAcentral lists this ribosomal RNA (164 nucleotides) under uncultured bacterium. Its description in RNAcentral is "partial 16S rRNA". It matches the Rfam family "Bacterial small subunit ribosomal RNA", at positions 355 to 511 of the family's 1533-position model. The record is from RNAcentral.
UAGGGAAUCUUCGGCAAUGGGGGCAACCCUGACCGAGCAACGCCGCGUGAGUGAAGAAGGUUUUCGGACCGUAAAACUCUGUUGUUAGAGAAGAACACGAGUGAGAGUAACUGUUCAUUCGAUGACGGUAUCUAACCAGCAAGUCACGGCUAACUACGUGCCAG